This 492-nucleotide ribosomal RNA is filed under the name uncultured bacterium. RNAcentral describes it as "partial 16S ribosomal RNA". It matches the Rfam family "Bacterial small subunit ribosomal RNA", at positions 30 to 507 of the family's 1533-position model. The record is from RNAcentral.
AUUGAACGCUGGCGGCAUGCUUUACACAUGCAAGUCGAACGGUAACAGGCCUUCGGGUGCUGACGAGUGGCGAACGGGUGAGUAAUGCAUCGGAACGUACCCAGAGGUGGGGGAUAACGCAGCGAAAGCUGUGCUAAUACCGCAUGUGAUCUGAGGAUGAAAGCGGGGGACCGAGCAGCAAUGUUUGGCCUCGCGCCUUUGGAGCGGCCGAUGUCGGAUUAGCUAGUUGGUGGGGUAAAGGCCUACCAAGGCGACGAUCCGUAGCUGGUCUGAGAGGACGACCAGUCACACUGGGACUGAGACACGGCCCAGACUCCUACGGGAGGCAGCAGUGGGGAAUUUUGGACAAUGGGCGCAAGCCUGAUCCAGCAAUGCCGCGUGCGGGAAGAAGGCCUUCGGGUUGUAAACCGCUUUUGGCAGGAACGAAACGGUGUCCGCUAAUACCGGGCGCUAAUGACGGUACCUGCAGAAUAAGCACCGGCUAACUACGUG